Molecule: long non-coding RNA, 553 nt
Organism: Glycine soja
Lineage: Eukaryota; Viridiplantae; Streptophyta; Magnoliopsida; Fabales; Fabaceae
Exons: 3
Source: RefSeq, a predicted model, not a curated record
AUUUUAUCGCACCAUUUAAUUCUCCUUAAUUCCAGAACUUUCUUCUCUCUCUUCCAUUUCUCUUGCAUCCGUCUAGAUUCUUCCCCUCCUCUUUCUUCUCUCUCUUUCCCUUUCUCUCACUGCUCAUUUCUUCUUCUUCCUCUAUUCUUCUUUUACUCUCACUUGAACUACACUGGUAGAGGAUGUGUAUUUCCUCUACAAGAGAAGGUGAAAGAACACAUUAAAGCUGCGAUUUUUAUCUCAAAAAAUCCAAGAGUACAGGAUGAUGUUGAUUGUUUUAAGUACUAUGCCAAGCUUGCAGGAGGAUUGCUGAUUGCAGCUGUGUUCCUAGAAAACCUGUGGAAUUUUGAUUUGGUUCUUUUUUUUAUAUCAGGUUUUGAUUUUGAUUUUCUAUAGUUAGGAUUCAAAAGAGGUUGUUUAAGUAAAGUAGUUUAGUUCUGGGAUAGUUGUAUCCCCUUCUGCUUUUUAUUGUAAGGGAUGAUAGAUUUUUUACUUUUUACUAAUAUGAAUAUGAAUGAAUGAAUAAAGUUAAGGUGAAAUGUAUUGGUAGCUA